GUGCCAGCAGCCGCGGUAAUACCGGCAGCCCGAGUGAUGGCCGAUCUUAUUGGGCCUAAAGCGUCCGUAGCUGGCCGCGCAAGUCCGUCGGGACAUCCACCUGCCCAACAGGUGGGCGUCCGGCGGAAACUGCACAGCUUGGGACCGGAAGGCUCGAUGGGUACGUUCGGGGUAGGAGUGAAAUCCCAUAAUCCCGCACGGACCACCGAUGGCGAAAGCACUUCGAGAAAACGGAUCCGACAGUGAGGGACGGAAGCCAGGGUCUCCAACCGGAUUAGAAACCCUGGUAGUCC
RNAcentral lists this ribosomal RNA (293 nucleotides) under uncultured bacterium. RNAcentral's name for it is "partial 16S ribosomal RNA". It matches the Rfam family "Archaeal small subunit ribosomal RNA", at positions 455 to 747 of the family's 1478-position model. The record is from RNAcentral.